GAAAGUAAGAAAGGGCGCAUGGCGGAUGCCUUGGCUCACGGAGGCGAUGAAGGACGUGAUAAGCUGCGAUAAGCCUUGGGUAGGUGCAAAUAACCUUUGAUCCAAGGAUUUCCGAAUGGGACAACCCAGCAGGUUGAAGACCUGUUAUCACUACAUUAGGUAGUGAGGCGAACGAAGGGAACUGAAACAUCUUAGUACCUUUAGGAAGAGAAAAUAAAUAAUGAUUCCCCUAGUAGUGGCGAGCGAACGGGGAAUAGCCCAAACCUGCUUUGUGGCAACGCUUAGCAGGGGUUGUAGGACCACGGUGUCGUACUUAGAUUGUGAGAAGAAUGUUCUGGAAAGAACAAUCAUAGAGGGUGAUAAUCCCGUAUUCGAAGCAUGACGAGACGUAGUGGUAUCCUGAGUAACGCGGAACACGUGAAAUUCUGCGCGAAUCUGCCGGGACCAUCCGGUAAGGCUAAAUACUCCCGUGAGACCGAUAGUGAACGAGUACUGUGAAGGAAAGGUGAAAAGCACUCCGAUGAGGAGAGUGAAAUAGUUCCUGAAACCAUGCGCCUACAAGCGGUCGGAGCCGCGUAAGCGGUGACGGCGUGCCUUUUGCAUAAUGAACCUACGAGUUACCAUGUCUGGCAAGGAUAAGCGUCAUGAGACGCGCAUCCGCAGUGAAAGCGAGCCUGAAUAGGGCGUCGAGUCAGAUGGGGUAGACGCGAAACCAAGUGAUCUACACUUGCCCAGGUUGAAGUCCGGGUAACACCGGAUGGAGGACCGCACGGAUAAGCGUUGAAAAGCUUCCCGAUGAGGUGAGUGUAGGAGUGAAAGGCCAAUCAAACUUGGAGAUAGCUCGUACUCCCCGAAAGGCAUUUAGGUGCCGCGUGCGACGAUUUCCAUAAGAGGUAGAGCGACCGAUAGGUCAAGAGGGCUUCACCGCCUAUCGAGACCUGACGAACUCCGAAUGCUUAUGGACAGCAGUCGUGCAGUAAGGGGGCGGGUGCUAAGGUCCGUCCCCGAGAGGAGAAGAAUCCAGACCGCCGUCUAAGGUCCCGAAAUUCUGUCUAAGUUAGUCUAACGAAGUCUGGUCCCCGUGACAGCUAGGAUGUUGGCUUGGAAGCAGCCAUUCAUUCAAAGAGUGCGUAACAGCUCACUAGUCGAGGGUCCGGGCAUGGAUAAUAAUCGGGUAUAAGUCAGAUACCGAAGGCGCGGGAUAGUAAUGUAUAUUAAAAGUAUCGGUAGGGGAGCAUUCCAUCGGCGUUGAAUGGUGAGGGUAACCGAUCCUGGAGCUUAUGGAAAAGCAAAUGUAGGUAUAAGUAACGAUAAAAAGGGUGAGAUUCCCUUUCGCCGAAAGACCGAGGUUUCCCGGGCGAUGCCAAUCAGCCCGGGGUUAGUCGGGUCCUAAGUCUCAGCCGAACGGCGAAGGCGAUGGCAGAUGCGGUUAAUAUUCCGCAACUCGCAUAUACAGUGAUGUGGAGACGGAGCAGUGACACUGCCGCGCCCUGACGGAAUAGGGCGUUUAAGUGCGUAGGCUAUGAGGAAGGCAGGCAAAUCCACCUUCCGAGCUGAACCAUGAAAGUACAGGUAAUCCUUCGGGAUAACUUGAGUGCAGGUAAUCAUACUUCCGAGAAAAUCCGCUAAACUUAAUGUAUAUGCGACCCGUACCGCAAACGGACACACGUGGUCGGGUAGAAUAUACUAAGGCGUUGAGAGAUUCAUGGUUAAGGAACUAGGCAAAUUGACCCCGUAACUUCGGGAUAAGGGGUCCUCAUAGCAAUAUGAGGCGCAGAGAAUAGGUCCAGGCAACUGUUUAACAAAAACACAGGGCUGUGCAAACUCGAAAGAUGAAGUAUACAGCCUGACACCUGCCCGGUGCCGGAAGGUUAAGAGGAGAUGUCACCAGCAAUGGGAAGCAUUGAAUUGAAGCCCCGGUAAACGGCGGCCGUAACUAUAACGGUCCUAAGGUAGCGAAAUUCCUUGUCGGGUAAGUUCCGACCUGCACGAAUGGUGUAAUGAUCCGGACGCUGUCUCAAUCAUGAUCUCAGUGAAAUUGUAGUAUCGGUGAAGAUGCCGAUUACCCGCGAUGGGACGAAAAGACCCCGUGAACCUUUACUA
This 2103-nucleotide ribosomal RNA is filed under the name human oral metagenome. Its description in RNAcentral is "bacterial LSU rRNA". It matches the Rfam family "Bacterial large subunit ribosomal RNA", at positions 1 to 2106 of the family's 2925-position model. The record is from RNAcentral.